Non-coding RNA from Thermoplasmatales archaeon SG8-52-1, 71 nucleotides. Lineage: Archaea; Methanobacteriati; Thermoplasmatota; Thermoplasmata; Thermoplasmatales. The record is from Rfam.
AGCCCUGUGGUGUAGCGGCAACAUUCUAGCCUUUGGAGCUAGCGUCCCCAGUUCAAAUCUGGGCAGGGCUG